GAAAUGCGAUAACUAGUGUGAAUUGCAGAAUUCCGUGAAUCAUCGAGUCUUUGAACGCACAUUGCGCCCCCUGGUAUUCCGGGGGGCAUGCCUGUCCGAGCGUCAUUGCUGCCCAUCAAGCACGGCUUGUGUGUUGGGUCGUCGUCCCCUCUCCGGGGGGGGGCGGGCCCCAAAGGCAGCGGCGGCACCGCGUCCGAUCCUCGAGCGUAUGGGGCUUUGUCACCCGCUCUGUAGGCCCGGCCGGCGCUUGCCGAACGCAAAUCAAUCUUUUUCCAGGUUGACCUCGGAUCAGGUAGGGAUACCCGCUGAACUUAAGC
Molecule: unclassified non-coding RNA, 317 nt
Filed under: plant metagenome
Description: partial contains 5.8S ribosomal RNA, internal transcribed spacer 2, and large subunit ribosomal RNA
Rfam family: 5.8S ribosomal RNA (bases 1-105)
Source: RNAcentral